This 1374-nucleotide ribosomal RNA is filed under the name uncultured bacterium. RNAcentral describes it as "bacterial SSU rRNA". It matches the Rfam family "Bacterial small subunit ribosomal RNA". The record is from RNAcentral.
AGAGUUUGAUCCUGGCUCAGGACGAACGCUGGCGGCGUGCCUAACACAUGCAAGUCGAACGGAGCUUGCCCCUUCGGGGACAAGCUUAGUGGCGGACGGGUGAGUAACGCGUGAGUAACCUGCCUUUCAGUGGGGGACAACAGUUGGAAACGACUGCUAAUACCGCAUAAUGUUUCGAGAGGGCAUCCUUUUGAAACCAAAGAUUUAUUGCUGAAAGAUGGACUCGCGUCUGAUUAGCUAGUUGGUGGGGUAACGGCCCACCAAGGCGACGAUCAGUAGCCGGACUGAGAGGUUGAACGGCCACAUUGGGACUGAGAUACGGCCCAGACUCCUACGGGAGGCAGCAGUGGGGAAUAUUGGGCAAUGGGGGAAACCCUGACCCAGCAACGCCGCGUGAAGGAAGAAGGCCUUCGGGUUGUAAACUUCUUUUAGCAGGGACGAAGGACGUGACGGUACCUGCAGAAAAAGCAACGGCUAACUAUGUGCCAGCAGCCGCGGUAAUACGUAGGUUGCAAGCGUUGUCCGGAUUUACUGGGUGUAAAGGGCGUGUAGGCGGAGAUGCAAGUUGGGAGUGAAAUCCCGGGGCUCAACCCCGGAACUGCUUUCAAAACUGUAUCCCUUGAGUGUCGGAGAGGCAAGCGGAAUUCCUAGUGUAGCGGUGAAAUGCGUAGAUAUUAGGAGGAACACCAGUGGCGAAGGCGGCUUGCUGGACGAUAACUGACGCUGAGGCGCGAAAGCGUGGGGAGCAAACAGGAUUAGAUACCCUGGUAGUCCACGCUGUAAACGAUGAAUACUAGGUGUGGGAGGGCUGACCCUUUCCGUUCCGCAGUUAACCCAAUAAGUAUUCCACCUGGGGAGUACGACCGCAAGGUUGAAAACUCAAAGGAAUUGACGGGGGCCCGCACAAGCAGUAGAUUAUGUGGUUUAAUUCGACGCAACGCGAAGAACCUUACCAGGAUUUGACAUCCUGCUAACGAAGCAGAGAUGCAUUAGGUGCCCUUCGGGGAAAGUAGAGACAGGUGGUGCAUGGUUGUCGUCAGCUCGUGUCGUGAGAUGUUGGGUUAAGUCCCGCAACGAGCGCAACCCCUAUUGUUAGUUGCUACGCAAGAGCACUCUAGCGAGACUGCCGUUGACAAAACGGAGGAAGGCGGGGACGACGUCAAAUCAUCAUGCCCCUUAUGUCCUGGGCUACACACGUAAUACAAUGGUGGUAAACAGAGGGAAGCAAGACUGCGAAGUGGAGCAAAUCCCUAAAAGCCAUCUCAGUUCGGAUUGCAGGCUGCAACUCGCCUGCAUGAAGCUGGAAUUGCUAGUAAUCGCGGAUCAGCAUGCCGCGGUGAAUACGUUCCCGGGCCUUGCACACACCGCCCGUCA